AUUGAACGCUGGCGGCAUGCUUUACACAUGCAAGUCGAACGGCAGCGCGGGCUUCGGCCUGGCGGCGAGUGGCGAACGGGUGAGUAAUGCAUCGGAACGUGCCCAGUAGUGGGGGAUAGCCCGGCGAAAGCCGGAUUAAUACCGCAUACGCCCUGAGGGUGAAAGCGGGGGACCGAAAGGCCUCGCGCUAUUGGAGCGGCCGAUGUCGGAUUAGCUAGUUGGUGGGGUAAAGGCUUACCAAGGCGACGAUCCGUAGCUGGUCUGAGAGGACGACCAGCCACACUGGGACUGAGACACGGCCCAGACUCCUACGGGAGGCAGCAGUGGGGAAUUUUGGACAAUGGGGGCAACCCUGAUCCAGCCAUGCCGCGUGCGGGAAGAAGGCCUUCGGGUUGUAAACCGCUUUUGUUCGGGAAGAAAUCCUCUGGGCUAAUACCCCGGGGGGAUGACGGUACCGGAAGAAUAAGCACCGGCUAACUACGUG
RNAcentral lists this ribosomal RNA (484 nucleotides) under uncultured bacterium. RNAcentral describes it as "partial 16S ribosomal RNA". It matches the Rfam family "Bacterial small subunit ribosomal RNA", at positions 28 to 507 of the family's 1533-position model. The record is from RNAcentral.